This 458-nucleotide ribosomal RNA is filed under the name uncultured bacterium. RNAcentral describes it as "partial 16S ribosomal RNA". It matches the Rfam family "Bacterial small subunit ribosomal RNA", at positions 338 to 795 of the family's 1533-position model. The record is from RNAcentral.
CCUACGGGUGGCAGCAGUGAGGAAUAUUGGUCAAUGGGCGAGAGCCUGAACCAGCCAAGUCGCGUGAGGGAGUACUGCCCUAUGGGUUGUAAACCUCUUUUGUCGGGGAGCAAAAGCCGGACGUGUUCGGCUGUGAGAGUACCCGAAGAAAAAGCAUCGGCUAACUCCGUGCCAGCAGCCGCGGUAAUACGGGGGAUGCGAGCGUUAUCCGGAGUUAGUGGGUUUAAAGGGUGCACAGGCGGGUUUUUAAGUCAGCGGUCAAAUCGUGGGGGUUAACCCCCUCCAGCCGUUGAAACUGGGGGUCUAGAGUGUGAGAGAGGUAUGCGGAAUGCGUGGUGUAGCGGUGAAAUGCAUAGAUAGCGCGCAGAACCCCGAUUGCGAAGGCAGCAUACCGGUGCACAACUGACGCUCAGGCACGAAAGCGUGGGUAUCGAACAGGAUUAGAUACCCCUGUAGUC